This 646-nucleotide ribosomal RNA is filed under the name uncultured bacterium. Its description in RNAcentral is "bacterial SSU rRNA". It matches the Rfam family "Bacterial small subunit ribosomal RNA", at positions 163 to 807 of the family's 1533-position model. The record is from RNAcentral.
UUAAUACAAGAUGGCAUCAUGAGUCCGCAUGUUCACAUGAUUAAAGGUAUUCCGGUAGACGAUGGGGAUGCGUUCCAUUAGAUAGUAGGCGGGGUAACGGCCCACCUAGUCUUCGAUGGAUAGGGGUUCUGAGAGGAAGGUCCCCCACAUUGGAACUGAGACACGGUCCAAACUCCUACGGGAGGCAGCAGUGAGGAAUAUUGGUCAAUGGGCGAGAGCCUGAACCAGCCAAGUAGCGUGAAGGAUGACUGCCCUAUGGGUUGUAAACUUCUUUUAUAAAGGAAUAAAGUCGGGUAUGCAUACCCGUUUGCAUGUACUUUAUGAAUAAGGAUCGGCUAACUCCGUGCCAGCAGCCGCGGUAAUACGGAGGAUCCGAGCGUUAUCCGGAUUUAUUGGGUUUAAAGGGAGCGUAGAUGGAUGUUUAAGUCAGUUGUGAAAGUUUGCGGCUCAACCGUAAAAUUGCAGUUGAUACUGGAUAUCUUGAGUGCAGUUGAGGCAGGCGGAAUUCGUGGUGUAGCGGUGAAAUGCUUAGAUAUCACGAAGAACUCCGAUUGCGAAGGCAGCCUGCUAAGCUGCAACUGACAUUGAGGCUCGAAAGUGUGGGUAUCAAACAGGAUUAGAUACCCUGGUAGUCCACACGGUAAAC